This 750-nucleotide unclassified non-coding RNA is filed under the name uncultured Prochlorococcus sp. RNAcentral's name for it is "partial contains 16S ribosomal RNA and 16S-23S ribosomal RNA intergenic spacer". The stretch from base 1 to 264 matches the Rfam family "Bacterial small subunit ribosomal RNA", at positions 1271 to 1533 of the family's 1533-position model. Lineage: Bacteria; Bacillati; Cyanobacteriota; Cyanophyceae; Synechococcales; Prochlorococcaceae. The record is from RNAcentral.
AUCCCAUAAACCGUGGCUCAGUUCAGAUCGUAGGCUGCAACUCGCCUACGUGAAGUAGGAAUCGCUAGUAAUCGCAGGUCAGCAUACUGCGGUGAAUACGUUCCCGGGCCUUGUACACACCGCCCGUCACACCAUGGAAGUUGGCCAUGCCCGAAGUCGUUACUCCAACCCUUGUGGAGGAGGACGCCGAAGGUGGGGCUAAUGACUGGGGUGAAGUCGUAACAAGGUAGCCGUACCGGAAGGUGCGGCUGGAUCACCUCCUAACAGGGAGACAACAAAAUGUAAAUAUUAAUUUUGUCACCUUAGGUCGAUCGGUAUCUCAGAUUCUUAAUUUUUUAAGAAUUUCAGUUUCUAAGUUUUUUCUAGGUCACACCCAUCACUUUUCCCUGGGCCAUUAGCUCAGGUGGUUAGAGCGCACCCCUGAUAAGGGUGAGGUCCCUGGUUCAAGUCCAGGAUGGCCCAUAUCUCUAUGUUGGGGGUAUAGCUCAGUUGGUAGAGCGCCUGCUUUGCAAGCAGGAUGUCAGCGGUUCGAGUCCGCUUACCUCCACUGAAUACCACCUCUUAGAUAUUUAAAAGGGGGAGAUUGUUUUGAGUUGUGAUCUAUUUUGCUCUGAGCGAAUCUAGCUUCCUGUUUUUAUUUAAAAAAUAAGAUGCUGGACUCAUUGAAUUAUUAUUCAUUGUUUUCAGAGAACCUUGACAACUGCAUAGAUUUUUUUGAAGACAAUAAGCAUCUUUAAGAUGCAGAUUUAU